AUGUCCAUGAUGGGUGAGCUGAAGUUCUUCCUUGGUCUUCAAAUUCGUCAGCAAAGGAAUGGCAUCUUCAUAUCUCAAGAAAAAUACCUCAAAGAUUGUCUGAAGAAGUUUGGAAUGGAAGACUGCAAAGGUUACACGAUGCCAAUGCCAGCCAAACACCAUCUUGGUCUCGACGACAAUGGUAAAGAGUUCGAUCAAAAGGUAUACCGCUCCAUGAUUGGUUCUUUACUUUAUCUAUGUGCAUCUAGGCCAGAUAUUAUGCUUAGUGUUUGCAUGUGUGCUCGAUUCCAAGCGGCACCAAAGGAAUCGCAUCACUUAGCUGUGAAGCGAAUUCUUCGAUAUUUGGCUUACACCCCAACACUCGGAUUAUGGUAUCCCAAGGGCUCAAAAUUUGAUUUGGUUGGAUUCUCGGAUGCUGAUUAUGCUGGUGACAAGGUGGAUCGCAAGUCUACAUCAGGCACAUGUCACUUUCUGGGACGAUCACUUGUCUGUUGGUCUUCAAAGAAGAAGAACUGUGUAUCACUC
Molecule: ribosomal RNA, 525 nt
Filed under: Triticum aestivum (bread wheat)
Lineage: Eukaryota; Viridiplantae; Streptophyta; Magnoliopsida; Poales; Poaceae
Description: partial small subunit ribosomal RNA
Source: RNAcentral